AUUUCGGUGUCCCAUGCCUCGCCGCGCUUUGUGCGCUUUCGCCAAAUUAAGCCAUCAUUAAAAUAACAACCCCGUUCACCCGCUCGUUUGGCGCGCGGCGAGACCGCACUCGCCCAUUCACAACCGCCACCUCUCAUGUUGUAUCGUCGCAAAUCGAUGUAGACGCGAUUGACAAUAGUCUUACACCGCGAAGCCGUUCUUUUGAUUAUGCUCUGUAUUCAUCGGAGUAAAUAAUGUAGUCAUAUUCCGUGCUACUCCUUUUCAAUAAGCAUCUUUCAUAAGAAGCAUCAAAGCUCGCACUAAAACAAAGAUUCGCAGCCGUAUCAGCGCCGCCUCGCCACGCAUGCAUGGUGCAUCUUUAUUAUGUUUCUUGUUCUCCCGGACAACAAACAUCGUAUCCACGUGUGCUUUCUGUUUUAGCAUAAUAGCACUGGGAAAACGUUCUCGCUCAAAAUCGCGAAGACGCGAUCAUACUUACGAGGAUGAUUAUUAUGUGUCUUCCAAAGAGAAUCGAGGAUAUAGAUCUCCGAGGUCAGAGCGUUCACGUGGGAGCUCCCGCAGACGUUUUCGAGAACCUUCCAUUGAACAUUCACGCUCAUUGGAUCGUCAGCGGACUUAUAACCUUGAAGAUGGACACCGAGGCGAUCAGAGAUUCACCAACUGAAGUUGUGGAGAAUUCCGGCAUUGACCAGGGUAAUUUAUAUGUUAUAUAUCAGGACUACGAGCCAUUACCACGAGUUUGACCUUGUCCAACGAUCAUUUCAUGAUCGCAAAGCUGUCCAAAGCACGCCAAAGAUAAAUGACAUACUUCAGUCUCGGACUACGAACUAUUACUACGAGUUUGGUCCUGUCCACCGAUCAUUCAAUGAUCGCGAGACUGCCCACGGAGACACGCUCAAGGGUUUGGCGCACUUCAGCUUCGAAUUAAGAACCAUUAUGUAUGAUCCUGUUCACCGAUCCUUCAGUAAUCGCGAGACUAUCCACGGAGUCACGCUCAAAAGAUUGCAUGAUGUUUUCUUUUAAAAGUACUCCAUGAAAACGAACCAGAGAGGCCAUAUAUUUCGUCGGAGCCAGUCGGAUUCAGAACACUUGCUGUGUUCAAAAUGGAUUUGAUGGACUCCAAUCGAUGGUGCUGCCAUGGGCUCAACUGUCCAUGAUUUAAUUACAAAAACUUGGUCUUCUAUAUUUAAUAGCGGUUUGCCAAAAGAAACGAAUCUUAUUCUACGCAAAAGUAUCCAGUUCCGCAGAAUUUAUCGUUAGUUAACCCCUACACUCAACACAGAGGUAAAGUUUAUGUCAGUUGACUUCAGUUCAGAGAGAUGAAUACCAAUUCAUCACUCAAGGUAUAAUCGAAGCAGUUAUAACUGCCCAAGCAUAUCUGGUAUCGGACUUUUGAAACCGGAGGAACAAUGGGAUAGCAAGCGCAUUUUUGAGUUAGCAAGUGAUACAGGUCCAAAAUUGCUAAUUAUCUUGAAUGCAAUAGGAUACAAAAUUCUUUUCUCCUCCUCCUCGAUCAUAUUUACAGGAACCACUGUCGAGCAAGUCGGAACGCCCUCUCUGUGAAGCAGACUGCCUUCUUAAGAAGGAUGCCAUCCAAUGUUGAUUUUGUUCAGAUCAAUAUUUUUUGUCAUACUUUUUGAUAGACAAGGCAUCCGGUGAGAAGAGGUUUAUCUUGAAUCUCAAACCUCUUAAUGAAUCUAUUUUUGUACCUCAUUUCAAGAUGGAGGAUCUAAUGAUGGUUACCCGAUUGAUGUCUUCAGAUUUCAUAGCAUCGAUCGAUUUGAAAGAUUCCUAUUUGUUGCUGCCAAUUCACGUCUCACACCAUAAGUACCUACGUUUUUCAUUUCAGGAAGAUAUCUUCGAAAGGAUUUUGGUCUAUCAGUUACCUAAAUGACUUCUUACUGUUCGGAGACACCGCCGCAAACAUAAAAAAAUCUCCAAUAAGUAAUUUUGCAGAAUUCGUGAUCUUGUAAGUCUAAUAGAAACACUAAAUUCUAUUUGCCGAACAGUUACUUAUGGAUCAAUACAUUACAUUACAUUACAUACAUUCAUUAGAUACAUUCGAGAUUUUGAGAGACAGAAGUUCCUCGCUUGUAUAGAAUCCAAUAAUGAUUAUGACGCUCGUAUAAUACUAUCUACGUCACUUCAGGAUUUUAAGUGGCGGCUGAACAAGUUAUGCUCACCAUCGAUUGCAAGACCGUUACUAAAACGAAAGUUUUCUCAUGUAAUCUUUUCUGAUGCUUCACCUUCAGGUUAGGGUGCAUCUAUAGGGAGAUUAUCAGGCAAGCAUUUCGCCAGAAGGAAUUUCCAGAGGAAUUGAUAGAGAUAACCUUGGUACCUCUUGUUAAUUCAACUCUAGAUUAAUAUAAUAAACCUAUCAAGCUCUGGUGGUUUUUCUGCAACGAACGCAAUAUCGACUGGUUUCAGCCUAGUAUAUCCCCAGUGAAAAGGGAUUGUGCAAGAUGACAACAAGAUGCCGGCAAGAUAAGAAGGAGAUGACGAUGACAAAAAAGCGCAAAAUAUCCCAAUGUUGCUGUUGAUCGUCACGAUGUUUCCUCUCUCUAAUUAGUCGGCCGCCAUGUGACAUUCGUCAUGUUAGUCCCACGUUAUUCAAAUGUGGUAUUCAUAUUAAGUUGAAAGAGUCGCUAUGUAAAUUGUCUAUUAUAGAAUAAAGAUCCAGUUAAAUUAA
RNAcentral lists this long non-coding RNA (2689 nucleotides) under Ooceraea biroi (clonal raider ant). RNAcentral describes it as "uncharacterized LOC105283654, transcript variant X1". The record is from RNAcentral. Lineage: Eukaryota; Metazoa; Arthropoda; Insecta; Hymenoptera; Formicidae.